RNAcentral lists this ribosomal RNA (400 nucleotides) under phytoplankton environmental sample. RNAcentral's name for it is "partial small subunit ribosomal RNA". It matches the Rfam family "Eukaryotic small subunit ribosomal RNA", at positions 587 to 991 of the family's 1831-position model. The record is from RNAcentral.
AGCUCCAAUAGCGUAUAUUAAAGCUGUUGCAGUUAAAAAGCUCGUAGUCGGAUUUCGGGCGGCGGCCAAUGGUUCGGUUCCGUGCCGAUACUGCUGGUCGCGGCCUCCACGCCGGUCGUCCUUCGAUGCUCUUAACUGAGUGCCUUAGGUAGCCGGAGCGUUUACUUUGAAAAAAUUAGAGUGUUCAAACAAGGCCUCGAGCCUGAAUGAUGGUGCAUGGAAUAAUGGAAUAGGACCUCGGUUCUAUUUUGUUGGUCUUCGGAACUAGAGGUAAUGAUUAAUAGGGACGGACGGGGGCAUUCGUAUUGCGGCGUUAGAGGUGAAAUUCUUGGAUCGUCGCAAGACGGACUACUGCGAAAGCAUUUGCCAAGAAUGUUUUCAUUGAUCAAGAACGAAAGUA